ACCCUACGGUCAUUGGUGUUAUCUAUCUUUGUUUAUCAUUCGCAUAGCGCAAGACAUACAGAUCAUACGAUUACACCGCAAGCACAGAUUUAUGAUCGUACGAUUGUACCGCAAGCACAGAUUAAUGAUCGUACGAUUGUACCGCAAGCAGACGAAGAAUAGAUGAUCGCGCGACUGCGCUUAACGCCACUUAAUCUUCGUGAUUAGCUAAGCUGCCGAUCAUAAUUGAAAAGAUCUUUGACGAUAGCAGACGCGACGUUCAGAUCAUAUAUUAAAUUAAAAGCAAAACGUGGGUGAAUUAUUAUACUACACAAAAAGAUUAUAUCCGUGGAUAGUGCGAGCAGCAAACCAUUUAAAUAAAUGUCUAGUGAUUUGGCAAUAGGUGACCACCUUGAUUUAGCUCAAUAGCUAGAGCUAUCACCAAAGCAAAGACUGCGAAAGAGUAGUUGGUUUUUUUUAUAUGACUCGUGCGGUCAAUGGCACGCAGCGAUAAAAUAAAAGACCUGACUGCGCAGCAGAUUAACCUACCACGAAGGCAAGAUACCCUCACAGACACGGAGCUAACUCUCGACGGCGUAAGAUUUCAUUAACGGCCAAAAGAGAGACUCCACCCACAACAACCAGAAAAAAAGAAAUCGGGAUCUCUAAAAACAACCUACACCAUGACGUAGGACAACCUCAUUUAGAUCUUGGCCUUGUCCAAAUACAUAAGUUAAGUAAGGACCCGACGGAAGGUAGAGCAUUGCGUCAGCUGAUGCGCUAAUGCAGGAACACAGCGAAGGUAGCCAGAGCAGACUAUGCGCUGCUCUGAAAAGCAGCUAAAAUCAACAUGCUAUCGUCAUCUUGGGCCCAGGAAUACAACGGUAUGCAGAUAUAUAUAUAAAAACAAUAAAAACGCUGUUUUUAUCUAUAGACAG
Drosophila mojavensis is the source of this 917-nucleotide RNA transcript. It is a transcript of the gene named mitochondrial import inner membrane translocase subunit Tim13, with no coding region annotated. The transcript has 4 exons. Lineage: Eukaryota; Metazoa; Arthropoda; Insecta; Diptera; Drosophilidae. The record is from RefSeq and is a predicted model, not a curated record.